This is an RNA transcript of Daucus carota subsp. sativus, 1421 nucleotides long. It is a transcript of the gene named probable plastid-lipid-associated protein 4, chloroplastic, with no coding region annotated. The transcript has 3 exons. Lineage: Eukaryota; Viridiplantae; Streptophyta; Magnoliopsida; Apiales; Apiaceae. The record is from RefSeq and is a predicted model, not a curated record.
AUAGUUUUAUUGUUGUUGGAAGUUUAUAGUGCAUUUUUUUUAGAGCAAGGCAAAGCCACUAUGGCCUUAUCCUCUCCCUCAACACUAAUAUUCUCCGCAACCAGCAGCACCACCGCAGCCUCCGUCGACAACCUCUGGCCUUGUUCUCUCUCCAAAUCUUCUCUCUCUAGAAACCCACCUGCAAAGCAAAGCAGCGAUGUUGUGAGCACCUCCUCCACUGCAAAAUGGAGGACCCGAGUCUCAUUUUUCCCGGCUUUCCUGAAUAAUCCCAAAAAAAAUGCCAAACUUAUCAAAGAGGAGCUUCUUGAAGCCAUUGCUCCGCUUGAUCGUGGCGCAGAAGCCACCCCUGAAGACCAACAAAUAAUUGAUCAGAUUACUCGCAGGCUUGAAGCGGUGAAUCCCACCAAGGCACCUCUGAAAUCUGAGUUGCUCAAUGGGAAAUGGGAGCUUCUGUACACUACUUCAGUGUCGAUUUUGCAAAUUAAGAGACCCAAGUUUUUGAGAUCAAAGGUGAACUACCAAGCUAUUAAUGCUGAUAUACUAAGGGCUCAGAAUAUGGAAUCAGGGCCGUUCUUUAAUCAGGUGACUGCGGAUCUCACACCUGUGAGUGACAAAAAGGUGGGGGUGAAAUUUGAUUACUUUAAAAUUGGUGGAUUGAUACCUGUAAAAGCUCCUGAGAGAGCCGUGGGGUCACUGGAGAUUACUUACUUGGAUGAUGAAUUGAGAGUAUCAAGAGGUGACAAAGGCAACUUGUUCAUCUUGAAGAUGAUUGAUCCCUCCUACAGAGUCCCUGCUAGCGGAUGAAUUUUAUCCUAUGCAAGCUAAAUGCUCCCAGUAUUUUAUCCUAAGCUGAGGAGCUUAGUACCCGACGUUGCUUCUGAAGCCUCCAGUACCACAACAUCAACAGCAUGGUGGCAAGGGCGGUGGAUGGAGCAAAGAAAAAAGAUAUGAUCCCACUUCCUCCAGAGGAAACACAGUGAUUCCGGAGCCAACUGUGGAUGCGAGUUGCAUACUGAUGCAAGAACUUGGAUCCCAAGUUCCGCAGCUGGGUCAAGUUAAGCUGGGAACUGGGAAGGUUCGCCACACUGGGCAGACAGCUAGGAAGUUUCAACAGGGUUUGACUUUCUGGGGAAAGUUCAUCUUGAUGGGAAUGAAGGGAAGAUGCGUGAAGGCCUUCAUGAUUAACCGGUGGAAAGACGUUGAUGUCGAUGCUGGAGCUCUGAUCUACCCCAAGCAUUGAACACUCAGAUUCAUUAUAAGGUUCCAUAGACCAUACAAUCAGAAGAACAGAGAGACUGGAUUCUGUAUUAUUCAAUCACUUAAGUGUAAAGAAUGUUUAGUUUUGUCAAAGUUAGCAAGCCGCACGACUUGAACAAAUUAUAUUGCUAGUUGUUGAGUGAUAAUUAACUUAUUCCUCCGCA